This 119-nucleotide ribosomal RNA is filed under the name Pteropus alecto (black flying fox). RNAcentral also lists the same sequence under 1 other name. Lineage: Eukaryota; Metazoa; Chordata; Mammalia; Chiroptera; Pteropodidae. The record is from RNAcentral.
GUCUAUAGCCAUGCCACCCUGAAGAAGCCCGACCUUGUCUGAUCUCGGAAGCUAAGCAGGGUUGGGCCUGGUUAGUACUUGGAUGGGAGACCACCUAGGAAGACUAGGUGCUGUAGGCG